This 602-nucleotide long non-coding RNA is filed under the name Homo sapiens (human). RNAcentral describes it as "non-protein coding lnc-PHF21A-1:1". The record is from RNAcentral. Lineage: Eukaryota; Metazoa; Chordata; Mammalia; Primates; Hominidae.
AGAGUCAGGCGCCUCUGGAAGGGAUGGUUUGGCCUACAGAGAGAAAACAGAGAGAAUGGGCAAGGGGUCAUCGAUGGACCGGAGAUGGGAUGGUAGGGACAGAAACUGCAGGGUCCGCAGAAGGAACUGCUCACCGAAAGCCAACAAGCUUGCCCUGUGGAAUCCCAGAAAGGCCCAGGAACUUCGGGACAUCACUGAAGGCAGAGUGAAGAGAGGAAGAGAAGACAGAGAAAUGGAGGGGAGAAAACUAUUAAAAUAAGUAAUAAGAAAACUUUCCCCAGAAGUGCAGAAUCUGAAUUUCCAGUAUAAAAGGGUCCAUUGAGCGCCAAGAACAAUGAAGGAAAAAAGGUCCCACUCAGGCCUACGUAUCAUUGUGAAAUUUCAGAACUAGAGGGAUAAAGAAAAGAUCCUAAAAGCUUCCCGAGAGAUAAAAAAGAAGAUUUUUACAAAGGAUCAGCAAUCAGAAUUGCCUCAGACUGCUCAAUAAAAACAUCAGAAGCUAGAAGAAAAUAGAAUGAGGCAUCAAAAUCCUGAGGGAAAUGAUUCCCACCUAUAAUUUCAUAUUCUGCUCAAUUAUCAAUUGAGUAUUGAAGGGAAAUAAA